Molecule: ribosomal RNA, 468 nt
Filed under: uncultured bacterium
Lineage: Bacteria
Description: partial 16S ribosomal RNA
Rfam family: Bacterial small subunit ribosomal RNA
Source: RNAcentral
GACGAACGCUGGCGGCGUGCUUAACACAUGCAAGUCGAACGGAAAGGCCCUGCUUUUGUGGGGUGCUCGAGUGGCGAACGGGUGAGUAACACGUGAGUAACCUGCCCUUGACUUUGGGAUAACUUCAGGAAACUGGGGCUAAUACCGGAUAGGAGCUCCUGCUGCAUGGUGGGGGUUGGAAAGUUUCGGCGGAUGGGGAUGGACUCGGGGCUUAUCAGCUUGUUGGUGGGGUAGUGGCUUACCAAGGCUUUGACGGGUAGCCGGCCUGAGAGGGUGACCGGCCACAUUGGGACUGAGAUACGGCCCAGACUCCUACGGGAGGCAGCAGUGGGGAAUAUUGCACAAUGGGCGGAAGCCUGAUGCAGCAACGCCGCGUGCGGGAUGACGGCCUUCGGGUUGUAAACCGCUUUCGCCUGUGACGAAGCGUGAGUGACGGUAAUGGGUAAAGAAGCACCGGCUAACUACGUG